AAAUAGUCCAAGAUCUUUUUUCCUUUUUGAUUACCACUCACCAGAAUAUUGUACACAGUGCAUGGAUUUGUUGUAUUUUGAGAUAUUUCGUUAUAACUGAUAUAUUGUAACCAAAUUUCAGGCUGAAGCUGCAGCAAAGUUUUUGAAUGUCAUGAGGCACUACUUCGAUUCCCUUUGUUCAGAUUUGAGGUCGCAUACCAUAACCUGUGUAGAAUCAAACAAUGACAAGGUUUCAUUACUUCUUAAAGAUAGCUUUAUUGACUCCUUUCCCCCCAGGGACCAACCCUUCAUUAAGCAUUUUGUAGACACACAGCUUUUCUCUGUCCUAUCAGAUUCUCGCCUCUCAAGAUACGAGCAUGAGUAGAGCAUGAGUAGAUCUUAGUCCACCUAUUAUAGGUUCCAUAUAUCCUUUUGGAGCUCCAAGGUGAGAAACAAGAAUGCCACUGCCAAAGCCUGCAAUGAAAUGUGAAGCCUCAGGUUUGCAGUUGUGCUGAUGGGUCAAGAUUUUGGGAAUGGCUGACAUCUUUAACAAGCAGUGUCUUUGUGACCAUCAUCAAUCUCCUGGUAUUGGAGCUAUUAACAAGCAGCAGAAAGUCAGAAAAAUUCACGUGUACAAUAAUUCGAUGCAAAUAAUCAUGGGCUGUAACAAUGCUGCCUGCUUUACUGCUUACAUGCUAUGGAUUCUCAUCCCUGUAUUUUUAGGGGAUGUGAUGCUGGAAUUAUCAAAGUUCUGCCUCACCUCAAUGUUUUGUAAAUCUGCAAAUUAAUAAAAGAUAAAAUUUUGGGCCUGCA
Macadamia integrifolia is the source of this 792-nucleotide long non-coding RNA. RefSeq lists it as uncharacterized. The record is from RefSeq and is a predicted model, not a curated record. The transcript has 3 exons. NCBI's taxonomy places the organism in Eukaryota, Viridiplantae, Streptophyta, Magnoliopsida, Proteales, Proteaceae.